RNAcentral lists this ribosomal RNA (543 nucleotides) under uncultured bacterium. RNAcentral describes it as "bacterial SSU rRNA". It matches the Rfam family "Bacterial small subunit ribosomal RNA", at positions 359 to 923 of the family's 1533-position model. The record is from RNAcentral.
CUGGAUAGCCGACAGAAGCCUGAUCUAGCCGUGCCGCGAUGCAAAGACGAAUGACUUAGGGGCGUAAAGCUCUUUCGCCAGGGAUGAUAAUGACGGUACCUGGUAAAGAAACCCCGGCUAACUCCGUGCCAGCAGCCGCGGUAAUACGGAGGGGGUUAGCGUUGUUCGGAAUUACUGGGCGUAAAGCGCGCGUAGGCGGAUUGGAAAGUUGGGGGUGAAAUCCCGGGGCUCAACCCCGGAACUGCCUCCAAAACUAUUGGUCUUGAGUUCGAGAGAGGUGAGUGGAAUUCCGAGUGUAGAGGUGAAAUUCGUAGAUAUUCGGAGGAACACCAGUGGCGAAGGCGGCUCACUGGCUCGAUACUGACGCUGAGGUGCGAAAGUGUGGGGAGCAAACAGGAUUAGAUACCCUGGUAGUCCACACCGUAAACGAUGAAUGCCAGUCGUCGGGUAGCAUGCUGUUCGGUGACACACCUAACGGAUUAAGCAUUCCGCCUGGGGAGUACGGUCGCAAGAUUAAAACUCAAAUGAAUUGACGGAGGAGUC